Molecule: ribosomal RNA, 478 nt
Filed under: uncultured bacterium
Lineage: Bacteria
Description: partial 16S ribosomal RNA
Rfam family: Bacterial small subunit ribosomal RNA
Source: RNAcentral
GAUUAACGCUGGCGGCGUGCAUAACACAUGCAAGUCGAACGAUGAAACUUUACUGACUUCUUCGGAAUGAUUUAAAGCGGAUUAGUGGCGAACGGGUGAGUAACACGUGAGUAACCUGCCUUACACAAGGGGAUAGCCUCUGGAAACGGAGAAUAAUACCCUAUGAAACCAGACAAUCGCAUGAUAAUCUGGUCAAAAUGUUUAGUGGUGUAAGAUGGACUUGCGUCUGAUUAGCUAGUUGGUGAGAUAAAAGCUCACCAAGGCAACGAUCAGUAGCCGGCUUGAGAGAGUGUACGGCCACAUUGGGACUGAGACACGGCCCAGACUCCUACGGGAGGCAGCAGUGGGGAAUUUUGCACAAUGGGGGAAACCCUGAUGCAGCGACGCCGCGUGAUUUAGAAGGCCUUCGGGUUGUAAAAAUCUUUUGUAUAGGAAGAAAAUGACAGUACUAUACGAAUAAGGUCCGGCUAAUUACGUG